Molecule: transfer RNA, 73 nt
Filed under: Bacillus subtilis
Lineage: Bacteria; Bacillati; Bacillota; Bacilli; Caryophanales; Bacillaceae
Description: tRNA-Ala
Rfam family: tRNA
About the family: Transfer RNA (tRNA) molecules are approximately 80 nucleotides in length.
Source: RNAcentral
GGGGCCAUAGCUCAGCUGGGAGAGCGCUACGCUGGCAGCGUAGAGGUCAGGGGUUCGGCCCCCCUUGGCUCCA